Lolium perenne is the source of this 6759-nucleotide non-coding RNA. Lineage: Eukaryota; Viridiplantae; Streptophyta; Magnoliopsida; Poales; Poaceae. The record is from RefSeq and is a predicted model, not a curated record.
UUCUAUAAAUGUCCCUAGACUACCCAGCCAUCCAAGGCACCUGAGAGGGGCAAAACGAUCUGAGCCACCCGUUUCACCCUCUACAGUAAAUACUCAGUCCCACUUUUCACAGCAGCCGUCCGAUCGGUGAGUUUUUUCCUCACCUGCUCAUCUUCUCAACGAGUCUAUGACGCGUGGGUUCAGCAAUAUGCGGGGCCCAACGGUCAGAGGCAGCUACGGGUGUUAAUUCGCGUCGCCUUUGAGUCUACAGCGGCUGAACGGUGAAACCCUAGAUCGGGGACACACCCAAUCCACUCCCCCCAAUCCCCGCUCCUCCUCUCCUCCCCAACCCACGUCUCUUCUCCUCCCCAAUCGCCGGCCGACCUCUCUCUCCCGCUGCAGCCACGCGUGAGGCCGGAGAGGCCACUCCCCAGGCGCUGGAGAAGCGUGAGAGGGCACUCUCCCAGCCGCAGAAGGCGUUGGAUUGGAUGGAGGCGAGCGCCGCGCCGCCUCUCCCCUCGUGGAAGGCUAUGCGUGCCGAGAUCGCGCUGGGAGGAUCCGCGGCGGCGGCGACUGGAGGCGCCGGGCGCGGCCGGGGAUAGGCCGGCGCAGGGUGGAUCCGCUCCGGCGACGACCGGAGGCGACGGGCUCGCGCGGGGCGGAUCCACGGCGGUGGCGACUGCAGGCGCGGCUCGUCUACGUCGCGGCCUCAUCCUCUCCUCUUCGGAUGUCGGCGCGGGGAGGCGGCCGUACCGGCGUUCUGGCGAGGAAGGAGCGCUAAGGUGCUCCCCGACCGAGUGAGCUCCCGUAACCAGCAAUGGCUGCCUCCACCGGAUCCCUACCCCCGCUCCGCCGUUCCGCCCCUGAGCGCGACGCCGCGGCUAACCCUAGCCAUGGGGUUCGGCAGGGUCGCCGCCGCAAUUACCGCGCCGCCGCCGCUCAUCCAUGUGCUCACCCCGGUCCUGGCUGUGCCCACACAACCUCCAGUGGGGAACUACCUCCCGAUCGACCAAGUGCGCCCCGAAAUCGCAGAGGCUUACGUCCAGGAAGUGUGGGUCAAGGCGCAGAAAAUGCUUGCCGGCUGCAAGGAAACCUGUGACGAAAACAAGGUUGAUGCUCAAGUUGUGCUUGUUAACGGGAACGAUGUCGCGGAUACCAUUUCCAGUCUUGUUGCUCAGCACCAGAUACAGAUCCUCGUCGUCGGUGCCAGCAGGGGCUUCUUCAGCAGAGCUUGCACGAAAGCGAGGCCACAAAUGCAGUUCUUCUGUAAGACUCAUUGCGAGUGAUGCAAGCACACAUGGAGGCUCCUCUGUGCCUUGCCGUGCUGCGGAGAAGAUAUCCCUGCCCUGGACAAUGGCAUGCUACUUUCUCUGUUUAUGUACUCCACGCGGGAUUAAAGUGCAGAGGAUGAUUUCCCUUGAAUAACAGACGACACGAUGCAGUACUGUGUAGAAAUUAUGCUUAUUGUUGCAGAUAAAUUAUUUCCUAUCCUCUUUGUAGUAAAAAUGAAGCAGAGCAAGGGAAUCAUAAGAGAGGCAAUGGGGAUGGGAAGGUUUGAUGGAUAAUCACCAUUUCUUAACCAUAUUUGGACCUUCCAAGAAAAUUAUGGUAAAGCUUUGAUUUUGGGGGCACAAUGAAUAGGGUUGUUGUGUGAUAUCAGUAAAUUUGUUUCUGUAACAUACUUGUGUGGCGAAGCAUAGGAGUGACAAGCCACGUGGAAGACACGGAGACGUCGAGGAGAUACCCUCCCUGGAGUAACAAGGGAACUCAUAAAUUGGUUGGGCGCCUACCAUCACGUCCGAGUUGAAGAAAGACCUUCAGAUUUUGCAGUUGUACUGUUGCAUCCUCUGGCUCGGAGGAGGUGUUCCGAUGCCCUGUGGCAUACUUCACCGAGAGGGCAAGCCAUCAACAUGAGUUUCAGGAAGAAACGGUGCAAGUGAGCUUUAAUAAUUGCGAGAAGACGGAGCCGGUACGGACGACCACGGUGGUGGGCGACAGUAGGCGUUGAUGAGCUCGUCCCGGAAGAGACCAGUGAGUUGCUGCUUCUAAAGAUAUGGGGAAAAGCAGCAGAUGAGAGCUUUGAGAUACUUGAUAGGUUCUGUUCUUCCUUUACCUGAAUAUACACCGCUCUAUCUAGGAUCUGGAUGGCACACCAGAAAACUAAGUUGUAGAUCAAAUGAGAUUAUCAUAUGAACUUGCUCUAUAUUCCAAGGUGGUGGUGUCUUGAUUUCGCCUUCUCAUGGCCUCUGCCAUUGCGUUGGUAAGUCACUCUGGGAAGCUCUCUCUCUACAUCACAUGCGAUAUUUAGUUUGUCACGAAGCCCACUCCUGCAUUUGUGUUGCACUUCUAAUCAGUAUACCAAACUGCAGUCUUUUGACGUAUUUCUUGCCUCCAUAAUUUAGUGAUGAACUAAUUGCCUUAUGUAUGUUGAUCCCUCCCCUAAGGAACAAAUCUUGCAUGCAGCACCUCUUUGUGUCUACUUGCAAAAUGUAAUUUUUUUCUCUGAGGAAAAUCAGUGUUGAAUGCUUUAAUUUUUCUAGGCUGAUUCAGCAUGAGCAUUCAUGAAGAACUAUUACUUGCCUGAUUGUGUUCUUAACGCUGGAAAAUUAGAGGCCAAAGCAACCAAGAGAUGAUGUACCAUUUCUUGUUCAGAAAAUGUGAGAGAUGCGAGAAAAGAUAGAAAAAGAAUGAGGCACACAUUCUUGUUCCAUUUAACUUGAAUCCGUGUUGUAAUCUGAAUUCAUGAUGUAUACAAAGCUACCUAAAUCGAAAUAGUCAAUUGCAGCCAACAUCCAUGGCAGCCAUAUGCAGCCAUGGUAGAUAAUUCCGCUAAUCCUAGAAAAAAUGUUUAUAUUGAGAAACGAGCAUGGUAGAUAAUUCCGCUAAUCCUAGAAAAAAAUGUUUAUGAGGUUAUACUACUGUUAAUCCAACAUCCAUGGCAGCCAUAUGCAGCCAUGGGAUUAGGUGGCCUACAAGCACCCUCUGUAUUUUUACCUCGACCAUGUCUCUGUUUCGCUGAAAGAGUGUUAAUGUUGUGGCAUCUUGCCAAAGUGUACUAAUUACUCAGUUGAUUUUGUUUUCCUCUUUGUAGGCCGCGCCACAAAAGAUUCGCUUUGAGGCACAAAGUUAUUUGCUAGCUUCGGUUUUAGUCUGUAGUUAUAUGUGCAAACUAAUGAUCAUUCAUAUGAAAUUUGUGUGGCGGGAACAUAUGAGAGGCUGCUGACACAAGGAUCAACUUGGUCCAUAUUUUAUUUAAAUGCAUUUGAUAUACUUGGCAUGCUAAUAACAAAAACUUUUUUCCUGUUGGAUUGAAAGCCCAGUUGGUAAAUAAGCUUCUGAGCAUUUUUUAUUGAUCUUGGUAUUUCUCUACUCUCAUUGGCUUACUGGAACUGAAUUGUGUGGGGGCAUUGUUCAUGCCUUGUGAAGUCUUCAGGUUCAUCAUAAAUCUGCAGGACAACUUCAAUGCUUUUGAUAAGCCAUUAACCUUCUCCUGUAUUUUCCACACUACGUAGUAAUCCAUGUCUUGGGAAAAUAUUUCAGGUGUUGCUUGAGGUAAGUAGAAUUUUUCUACUAAAGAAUUAUGGUAUCCUAUAUAGUAGGUAAACUUAUGGUAACUUUAGUAUGAUGGUUACAAUACUGGCUUGCUUUUGCCUUUGCGCUGGGGCGCUGCAUUCUAUUUUUGUGAAACAAUUACCAGAAGAAGAUUUAUCCCUAUAAAAUAAAGUAUGUUAUUACGAUGGGUUCUGUGACUAUUUGAGUUAGUUUUACAUUGAAAGUUAUUUACCUUGGUGCAAAAUUUCGCAGCUGAUUUUUUUAUUCGAUGAGAAGUGACCAGUAGCAGAGGGACAUUUCUAAUGCCCGCUGCCAUUUGAUGAAACACAGCUAUAAAAUCUCUUUUCGCUAUUCCAAAGUUCAUCUUCAGGUACAUUAGAACUGCCUCAAUGGUGCUAAUAUCUGUUUAGUGGAAGUCUGUAGCAUUUUAUUUUGUUGACAUCCACUCAGAUAAGCAUACAUAAUCUAUUCAAAAGGAUACUGCUAUGUCCUAUGCAAUGGCCUAUUAUUUAGUGACCUGAAAAUUUUCAUGUUGCACAAGUGAAGUUAAAUGGAGGGGUAUGCUUAAGUAAAUAUUUUCAUCAGAGUUUACGUUGGUUUGUUUGUACCUAAGAUUUCGUGAAGUUGAGCAUGAAUGUGGCUGUAUUUGAGGCCUUGAAGGCCAUCGGGAUGUAGAUGCAGGAUAUUACAACAUCCUGGACAAAUCUCUCUUUGGGUAACAGUUCGUUGCAGCGUAUGAAGUGUACACGCAGAUAUCGCUGCAGGUCAACAAUAAGGAAGCGAAGGGUGGAUGAGGGACAGGGAGAACGGAGACUGUUGCGACUCUGAGGAGAGGAUGUCGACGCUGUGAUGCGGCAGGCGAGGAUACCGCACGUGUUCUACAAGACGCUCAUUUUCUUCCAUGCCCUCGACACGGGUGCAUGAUUCCUCUUCCGGUGGCGACGCGGCCAAUAGCGACGGCCUUGACUUCCGCCUUCGUGGCUUCUUCACUACCACUUGCGCCAGCCAGGGUGGCCGUCGUUUAUGAGGAAGGCUGAUUGACAAGGGUGAGGUGGCGCGGCGGAGGUUCCUUGAAAGACGGUGAUGAUCCAGAGCAUCUAUCGGAGCUAUUUUUGCCUGUUAUUUUUUGUCACUUGGAAGUGAACAGAUAUGUCUGUUUAGUCUUGUUGUAGCAGUAUAAUUCUCUGAGUUUCUAUUGGGAAAAUUCAAAUGACUUCGAAAAUUAACAGAUAAUAUUUGUUUCAUUCAUUGCAGUAAGCAUAAUUUGAUAUUUAAGUGAUAGUGCUUAUGAAAUUGUAGAAUUAUCAGACUAUCUCGGAAGUGUCAGAAUCAUACUUAAUUAUCUAUGAACAUAAUAUAUCCUAUGUGACCAUAGUAAUACGUGCCCCUUUGUUUAAAAGCACUUGACCUGGUUGUUUGCCAUUACAUUUGCUUUGAGAAGUUCUUCAAUCUAUGUUACUGCAAUACACACUAAAUAAUCUGAAGGCAUCGCUCUUUUCUUCUGCCAUAUUUUUCGAUGGCUUGUGAAACAAAGAUCUAUUUUCACACAUUGUCACUAUGUCUGUAAGCCAGACAAUCAAAAUUACCAUUGAGAAAUGUCGACAGAUAUAACCUCGACAUAAAAAAAUAUCUUAGUUUAAAGGUAUAUUUUAAACUAUUUCGACAAAAGUUAUAUGUUUCAGCCAACAAGAAGUAUGUUGAGUUAUAUGGUUCAGCCAACAAAUGAUAUAUGGAUUGACUGAGUGUGUUGAUCGAGUCCACCUCUGUUGGACUCCUGCUUUUUUGAGUUACCUUUUGUUCAUUGUUGUUACCAAGUAGAAAUAUUCCAGCCUUUGAGCACUAAAGUGCAUCCUUCAUAUUUUCUCUGAGGUUCGUUUUCUUGGAUAACCAUGUGUAUGUUCUUGGUUAACCAUGGAUCAUAUUUUUUCAUAGUUGGUUCCUCUGUUUACUCAUAAUAGUGUAGCCUUCUAGAUUAUGUACGAGUUCUGUAUAGAGUUACUAAUGUAGUUCUUGUAUACGACUCUGAUGCAGCCAAAAGAGUCCAGUGAGGAAUGGACUAUUUUUGCUAUUAUAUAUUUGCCUUGUGGUGUGAAUGAGGAAAUGGAGUUAUUAGUCCAAGUAUCAUUUUUCAUCAGGUGUUCAUGGACAAUUGUUCACGCUCUUCUCAGAUUAUGGUCGUAUGAGCUCACACGGUUUCAGUUAUAGUGUCAUCAGACCGUGGCAGUAGGUAGUGUCAUGUUAAUGUGAGACUUUGAGAUAGAUCUAGGGAACUAAAUAAAUGUAGACUUUCACAGGAGAUGAAUAAAUUGUGGUUAGUGUAUAAGUGACACAAUUUCGGCUAGAGAAAAAAGGGAACCUUCUUAUAUAUAUAAUACGCGUAACGAAUUAUUUUCCCCGCGAUGAUUCAAAAUUGAGCUAUGCAUCUUUCCAGUCCUUCUCACUGUUAUUCAGUGCAUUCUAGAUGUAUUACUUCAGUAUUCAGGGUGAGGUUACUACUAACUAACCAAAGAAAGAGAGAUGGUUCUGUUCUAUUCAAGUUUUUUCUGCAUUCUAUUUUUGUGAAACAAUUACCGGAAGAAGAUUUAUCCCUAUAAAAUAAAGUAUGUUAUUACGACAGGUUUUGUGACUAUUUGAGUUAGUUUUACAUUGAAAGUUAUUUACCUUGGUGCAAAAUUUCGCAGCGGAUUUUUUUAUUCGAUGAAAAGUGACCAGUAGCAGAGGGACAUUUCUAAUGCCCACUGCCAUUUGAUGAAACACAGAUGGUUACCAUCCAGGAUCGUCGGCAGACGUCGAGUAUAGAAGUGUUAUUUGGACUCACCAAAAAAGAUCUAUUCCUUCAACUAUUAUUGUAUGUAGCUCCAGCCUUUUGUUAACCGGUGAUGGAUCCAGAGGCAGAAGAGUUUGGGCCAUUCACAGUGAUGGAACGCUACAACACAGGUGUUAAUCUGGAAGUGGAUGAUUAGCGAAUUCCUGCAGAAUCGUUCCAGAAGGGUUUCAAUGUUUCAUUAUAAAUUUGAGAACAUUUUUAGAGAAUGCACACAUAAGUACCAUCAUUUGAGUUCUAUAAUGUACCUAUGGUAGUAGUAUCCUUAAGUAAUGUUUUGUACCCAUGAUAUUGCUGGUCUACUUUAUUUAUGUAUAAAUUAGUUCGUACUUGCUGCCACGACUAUUCACUGAGUAAGAAAAAUGGUUGAAUGUAUAUGUAUAAAAUCGACAUCUGUUUUGUUA